This 331-nucleotide unclassified non-coding RNA is filed under the name soil metagenome. RNAcentral's name for it is "partial contains 5.8S ribosomal RNA, internal transcribed spacer 2, and large subunit ribosomal RNA". The stretch from base 1 to 120 matches the Rfam family "5.8S ribosomal RNA", at positions 35 to 154 of the family's 154-position model. The record is from RNAcentral.
GAUGAAGAACGUAGCGAAAUGCGAUAAGUAAUGUGAAUUGCAGAAUUCAGCGAAUCAUCGAAUUUUUGAACGCACAUUGCGCCUCAGAGUAUUCUUUGAGGCAUACCUGUUCGAGCGUCGUUUAGACCAUAAGGCUUUGCCUUGCGUUGAUUUAUUGGAGUGAUCCAAUAAUCUAAACUUGUUGGCGUCGUAGUUUGACCAAGACACAGCACAAUGUGACACUGGGAGAGCAAAUGACCGCCUAUUCGAACUGUUUCUUCACGAAACGUAGGUUCGACCUCGGAUCAGGUAAGACUACCCGCUGAACUUAAGCAUAUCAAUAAGCGGAGGA